RNAcentral lists this ribosomal RNA (543 nucleotides) under uncultured Trabulsiella sp. RNAcentral describes it as "bacterial SSU rRNA". It matches the Rfam family "Bacterial small subunit ribosomal RNA", at positions 505 to 1040 of the family's 1533-position model. The record is from RNAcentral. Lineage: Bacteria; Pseudomonadati; Pseudomonadota; Gammaproteobacteria; Enterobacterales; Enterobacteriaceae.
GUGCCAGCCGCGGCGGUAAUACGGAGGGUGCAAGCGUUAAUCGGAAUUACUGGGCGUAAAGCGCACGCAGGCGGUCUGACAAGUCGGAUGUGAAAUCCCCGGGCUCAACCCGGGAACUGCAUUCGAAACUGUCGGGCUAGGAAGUACUUAGUAAGAGGGGGGUAGAAUUCCAGGUGUAGCGGUGAAAUGCGUAGAGAUCUGGAGGAAUACCGGUGGCGAAGGCGGCCCCCCUGGACAAAGACUGACGCUCAGGUGCGAAAGCGUGGGGAGCAAACAGGAUUAGAUACCCUGGUAGUCCACGCUGUAAACGAUGUCGACUUGGAGGUUGUGCCCUUGAGGCGUGGCUUCCGGAGCUAACGCGUUAAGUCGACCGCCUGGGGAGUACGGCCGCAAGGGUUAAAACUCAAAUGAAUUGACGGGGGCCCGCACAAGCGGUGGAGCAUGUGGUUUAAUUCGAUGCAACGCGAAGAACCUUACCUGGUCUUGACAUCCACAGAAGUUUUCAGAGAUGAGAAUGUGCCUUCGGGAACUGUGAGACAGGUG